UCGUACUAGGUGGGGAGGUAGCGGUGCCCUAUAACUCGCAAUCCGCUCUAGCGAGACUGAAGUCCUUAUCUGAGGCUGUACGCAUGUAAGGCCUGCCUUUUGCACGUAGUGUUGACGGUUGGGUCCUGCGCAAUGAAUACCCAUGAACCAUGUCAGGUCCGGAAGGAAGCAGCAUUAAGUGGAACCAUUCAUGUGCCGCGGGGUAGCCUAGCCUGAGCUGGCGACAAAAGUAACGCUUAUGUUCGGCAGUCAAAGUGAGGUGUACGG
This 267-nucleotide signal recognition particle RNA is filed under the name Lysinibacillus composti. RNAcentral's name for it is "Bacillus sp. NCCP-36 Bacterial large signal recognition particle RNA". It matches the Rfam family "Bacterial large signal recognition particle RNA". Rfam says of the family: The signal recognition particle (SRP) is a universally conserved ribonucleoprotein involved in the co-translational targeting of proteins to membranes. Archaeal SRP consists of a 7S RNA and homologues of the eukaryotic SRP19 and SRP54 proteins. In most bacteria, the SRP consists of a 4.5S RNA and the Ffh protein (a homologue of the eukaryotic SRP54 protein). Lineage: Bacteria; Bacillati; Bacillota; Bacilli; Caryophanales; Bacillaceae. The record is from Rfam by way of RNAcentral.